This is a non-coding RNA of Delphinapterus leucas (beluga whale), 2900 nucleotides long. The record is from RefSeq and is a predicted model, not a curated record. Lineage: Eukaryota; Metazoa; Chordata; Mammalia; Artiodactyla; Monodontidae.
AUAUCGACCUUUGGUAGUAAUGCUGGAGGCACAGCAAACUGGCAUUUGUGUUUGAGGUUUCAAAGCCUCCCUUCUCCAUAGAGAUUGAGUUGCCCCCUGUCCUGCACAGUGAUGCAAGUCCAGAACAUUUUCCCAGCCAUAGCAACUCCACUCAGCUGGGAGAAGUGACUGGGACCAGUCCCAUAGCAAGAAACACCUGGCCUACCUGAGCCCACUUGAAAUCACACACGAAGUUUUCCUUAACAAAUUACGCCCAGGUUUCAGGAAGAAUCCCAAAAGUGAGGGAAAACUGGAAAAAAAAAUAGGAGUCCUUUUCCUUCACUCUUUGGCACCAUCUUGCUCUUCUGGUAUCAACAUCCUACUUCCGGAGCCUGACUUACUCCAACUCUCAAUGGGUAACAUGGCCCUGUCCACAGGGAACUUAAAAUCCAUUCAGGGAAGUUCAACCCUAUUAGGGGAAACUGUAUACUCGUUGUUCGUUCACUCAGUGUGUGUCUGCUGAAGACCUCCUGUGUUCCAGGCAUAGAGGAAAGUAUAGAUGAUGGAGAUGCCCUCUCUGCUGUCAAGAAGAUCAGCCUAGGAGGGGAAGCAAGCAAACGAGCAGAUGCAGGUCACCCAGCUGUUCAGAAGAUCUGGCCAAGGCCAUAUGGUCUAUUGAGGGACCAUCCCAUGAUGGAAUUCCAAGCCAACUCAGAUGAGCACUUUCAGGACAGCACUCCUGCGCUGAGUUCAUCUCUCCCACCUGUACAUGCUUCUAAGGUUCCAGGAGUCACCCUGUAUGAAAGCUGAGGAAGCUUCUGGUUGCACCAGCAGUAGGAGUUGGGAGUGACUGCAGAAGGAGCCUGAGAGAGGUGAAGAGCAACAGAUCCUUGGGCUUUCAGAGACGCCAUCUCCCUUCAUGCUCACAAAAUUCCCAUCUCAGAGAUGAAGACAAUGAACCUCCCUGAGAUUCGGAGACUUACCCAGAGUCACUUUGCUUCAAGAGCGAUGCGAUGCUGAUCGAAGGUUGGUCUUUCUUUUGUCCUCCAUCUUCUAUCCUGAUGGAGAUUUUUGACGCCCCCAACUCCAGCUCCUCUCUCUGGGGAAAGCCAGGCCCUUUGUCAUUACUGUCCCACCUGUUCAGGGUGCAGUGGUGAGCACCACAGUGGGAGCUCAGCACCUCUGAGUUUCUGCUCAACAGCUGUAUGGCUUUAAGAAAGUCACUCACAUUCUCGCUCAGAGUCGCUUCAUUGUAAAAUUGGAAUGGUGAUACCCAGAUUCAAAUCUUGAUUCUGUCACCUGCUGGCUUUGUUUCCUUGAACUUCAGUUUCCUUGUCUGUGAAAUAGGGUGAAAUCAUAUUGGGUGGGUGACAUUCACAAAGAUGUAUGAAAGUGUCCUGCCAAAAUCCCGGCACCUAGUUGACACUCGUUAACUGUGCAUUUUCCCCGUUUUAGGCAACCUGGCUUUCAGAGAACUCACCAGAACUUACAGGAAAUGUUUGGGCUAAGGAUGUCUCUGUUUUCACCUCCCUCUCAUUCUAUCCCUCCCCUAACCUCUCCACUCUGACUGUCUUUGUUUCUUAUCUCCAUUGUAGUCCUAAACUUGUUGAUCAGGCAGGGGAGAGAGAGCAAAGCCAUAAAGAGAAGUCUUAAGGUAGUUGGGCCCCUGUGAGGGAGGGGGGCAGGUCUCAUUCUAUUUGUACAGGUGCAUUGUAAUGCUGCCUGUGGUGUGAACAUUUUCCACUUCAUUACUCCUGGCCUGGGCCCAGGCCCUGGCUGCUCCCCUGGCCCCUGCCUUGGUUUAAUUUCAGCAGCUCCUGGCCUUUGGGAGGCAGCAGUCACAGAAAAGAAAACAAAUAAGGUCGCCAUAAACAAUUCUGCACAUUGCCCAACCUGGGCGGAUGGGUGCAUUCAUAGAGCAGGAACAGGGCCAGCUUGGCUGGGGCCGCAGGUACCCCCAUCAAAGCACCUCAGUCCCCAAGGGCUUCUGUCUGCUGAGCCCAAUCUUUCUAACUGAAGUUGACAUAGGUUUAAGGUAUAAACAUGGGUCAUGACAAAUACCCAAAGGCCCAGGAUUCUGUCAGUGAAGUCUGUAAGCAAUGGUUGAAAUGAAUACGUAACAGCUAACAUGUAUUGAGCACUUACUGUGUGCUGGAUGCUGUUCUAAGCACUUUAGAUGAAUUUUAGAGUGAGGUACAUCCUGUUAUUAUUCUAAUUUCGCAGAUGAAGAAACUGAGGCACGGAGUAUGCUUCAUAACUAGCAGAGCCAGAUUUUGUCCCUGGCAGUCUGACUUCAGAAUCUGCAUAUUUAAGUACUGUGCUAGGGUGUCUCCUGAUACGACACAUUCUAUGCACUUAUAUUUUGAUGAGGAGAAACGUUGAGGUAUGUUAUCAUACAGUUAUAGAAUGAUAUAACUUGGACCCAUUGACUCCCAGGAUUGGAUUAGACCAUAGGUGAUAAAACCUGAUAAUGUUGGGGUUCUCCCAGGAUUGGAUUAGACCAUAGGUGAUAAAACCUGAUAAUGUUGGGGUUCUCCAUAGACAUUGUCCACACUCCGCUUACAUACCUCCACCGAUGGGAAGCUCACUACUGUAUGAAGCAUCCCAUUCCAUUACGUGACUGUUUAACUCAAUGGCAGUGUUGAUGACUCUAUGUACAACAUGCAACUUUUUCCUAAUCACGUUGGUCAUCUAUAAAAGAGCUAGUUCAUGCAACUGUGCCUAGCAGAGUGCCUAGAACACUGUGGGCACUCAAUAAAUCUUUAUUCCUUUCUUCCUUGCUCCUUUAUCUUUCACAAAUUAAAAACAAAAGGAAAAAAUUCUUUACUCACUAUACUAUCAGGAAGGUAUAUUUACAAAAUAAUAUGAAACUCCUGCCUCAUACGAAAGGUAAGAGGUCUAGUAGGGAAGGAAGGUCCAAU